UUUGAGAAUCAAAAAGAGCUUACUAAAAUGCAACUGGACAAUCAGAAAGAGAUUGCCGAGAUGCAAAAUGAGACUCAAAAAGAGAUUGCUGGCAUUCAGUCGGCGACUUCACGCCAGAAUACGAAAGACCAGGUAUAUGCACAAAAUGAGAUGCUUGCUUAUCAACAGAAGGAGUCUACUGCUCGCGUUGCGUCUAUUAUGGAAAACACCAAUCUUUCCAAGCAACAGCAGGUUUCCGAGAUUAUGCGCCAAAUGCUUACUCAAGCUCAAACGGCUGGUCAGUAUUUUACCAAUGACCAAAUCAAAGAAAUGACUCGCAAGGUUAGUGCUGAGGUUGACUUAGUUCAUCAGCAAACGCAGAAUCAGCGGUAUGGCUCUUCUCAU
This 384-nucleotide ribosomal RNA is filed under the name uncultured prokaryote. RNAcentral describes it as "partial 16S ribosomal RNA". The record is from RNAcentral.